Molecule: transfer RNA, 75 nt
Filed under: Candidatus Adlerbacteria bacterium RIFCSPLOWO2_01_FULL_54_16
Lineage: Bacteria; Candidatus Adleribacteriota
Description: tRNA-Ile
Rfam family: tRNA
About the family: Transfer RNA (tRNA) molecules are approximately 80 nucleotides in length.
Source: RNAcentral
ACGCCCGUAGCUCAAUGGUAGAGCAGUCGCCUUAUACGCGAUUGGUUGGGGGUUCGAGUCCCUCCGGGCGUACAA